RNAcentral lists this ribosomal RNA (251 nucleotides) under uncultured Alcaligenaceae bacterium. Its description in RNAcentral is "partial 16S ribosomal RNA". It matches the Rfam family "Bacterial small subunit ribosomal RNA", at positions 524 to 774 of the family's 1533-position model. Lineage: Bacteria; Pseudomonadati; Pseudomonadota; Betaproteobacteria; Burkholderiales; Alcaligenaceae. The record is from RNAcentral.
UACGUAGGGUGCAAGCGUUAAUCGGAAUUACUGGGCGUAAAGCGUGCGCAGGCGGUUCGGAAAGAAAGAUGUGAAAUCCCAGGGCUCAACCUUGGAACUGCAUUUUUAACUACCGGACUAGAGUAUGUCAGAGGGAGGUGGAAUUCCACGUGUAGCAGUGAAAUGCGUAGAUAUGUGGAGGAACACCGAUGGCGAAGGCAGCCUCCUGGGAUAAUACUGACGCUCAUGCACGAAAGCGUGGGGAGCAAACA